UAGCGAUGAUGAUAUUCCACUUCUGGUCCGUGUUUCUGAACUCACUGAUUAUGUUGGAAGUCCUGAGCUU
Small nucleolar RNA from Alosa sapidissima (American shad), 70 nucleotides. RefSeq annotates it as small nucleolar RNA SNORD18. Lineage: Eukaryota; Metazoa; Chordata; Actinopteri; Clupeiformes; Clupeidae. The record is from RefSeq and is a predicted model, not a curated record. The transcript has a single exon.